RNAcentral lists this ribosomal RNA (477 nucleotides) under uncultured bacterium. Its description in RNAcentral is "partial 16S ribosomal RNA". It matches the Rfam family "Bacterial small subunit ribosomal RNA", at positions 28 to 507 of the family's 1533-position model. The record is from RNAcentral.
GAUUAACGCUGGCGGCGUGCAUAACACAUGCAAGUCGAACGAUGAAACUUUAAUGACCCCUUCGGGGAGAAUUAAAGCGGAUUAGUGGCGAACGGGUGAGUAACGCGUGAGUAACCUGCCUUACACAAGGGGAUAGCCUUUGGAAACGAAGAAUAAUACCCUAUAAAACCAUAAAAGCACAUGCAAUUAUGGUCAAAGUGAUAGCGGUGUAAGAUGGACUUGCGUCUGAUUAGCUAGUUGGUGAGAUAAAAGCCCACCAAGGCAACGAUCAGUAGCCGGCUUGGGGGAGUGUACGGCAACAUUGGGACUGGGACACGGCCCAGACUCCUACGGGAGGCAGCAGUGGGGAAUUUGGCACAAUGGGGGAAACCCUGAUGCAGCGACGCCGCGUGAUUUAGAAGGCCUUCGGGUUGUAAAAAUCUUUUGUAUAGGAAGAAAAUGACAGUACUAUACGAAUAAGGUCCGGCUAAUUACGUG